UACGUAGGGGGCUAGCGUUGUCCGGAAUCAUUGGGCGUAAAGAGCGUGUAGGCGGCCCGGUAAGUCCGCUGUGAAAGUCGGGGGCUCAACCCUCGAAUGCCGGUGGAUACUGUCGGGCUAGAGUGCGGAAGAGGCGAGUGGAAUUCCUGGUGUAGCGGUGGAAUGCGCAGAUAUCGGGAGGAACACCAGUAGCGAAGGCGGCUCGCUGGGCCAUUCCUGACGCUGAGACGCGAAAGCUAGGGGAGCGAACAGG
Molecule: ribosomal RNA, 253 nt
Filed under: uncultured bacterium
Lineage: Bacteria
Description: partial 16S ribosomal RNA
Rfam family: Bacterial small subunit ribosomal RNA
Source: RNAcentral